RNAcentral lists this long non-coding RNA (551 nucleotides) under Solanum tuberosum (potato). Its description in RNAcentral is "long non-coding RNA (STUB_LNC009862)". Lineage: Eukaryota; Viridiplantae; Streptophyta; Magnoliopsida; Solanales; Solanaceae. The record is from RNAcentral.
UCAUACAAGACUCUGGGUGCGACCCUCUAUUUCAUUCACCCUGCAACAAUACACUGUGUUACAUCCUAAUCAAUUUUCCCAUUACCUUGGAUUGUAGACCCAAGAUAUUUGAAACUUCCAUAGUUCUUUAGCAAAUGUACCUGUCGGAAACACUGUUGUGUCUGUCUACAACACCAACACCUAUCCAGUUUCUUCUAUCAUGUACCUGUGACAUUUCUUCAUCUGAUGGUCUUCUUAUCUUCAUCUUCUGGGAGUGGGAUCUUCCUUCUAUAGUUGUUGUGCUUCUCUUAUAAAGAUGUCAGCAUGCUUGAGUACCUGGUCCAUUUGAGAGCCUUUUUCAACUUAUUUCUGUCUUGUUUUAACUUCUUUUUGAGCACCCAGUUCUUCACUACAAACCUUUUCUUUAGUGGGUGCAGCUAUAGGAUCUUCAAGUUUUAACCCCGUCUUCUCCUUCUCUAGUGUAAGAACCUGGUUCUUUAGAUCAUCAACAUCAUUUAGCAAUUUCUUGGAAGGCACUAAAUAACAGUAAAAGUCACUAUCUCUAGGCAUGU